GACGAACGCUGGCGGCGUGCUUAACACAUGCAAGUCGAACGGAAAGGCCCUUUCGGAGGUACUCGAGUGGCGAACGGGUGAGUAACACGUGGGUGAUCUGCCCUGCACUCUGGGAUAAGCAUGGGCAACUGGGUCUAAUACCGGAUAGGACCGCACUCUAGUGUGUGUGGUGGAAAGUUUUUUCGGGGUGGGAUGGGCCCGCGGGCUAUCAGUUUGUUGGUGGGGGAAUGGCCUACCAAGGCGGCGGCUGGUAGGCGGACAGGGGGGGUGGGCGGGCACAAUGGGACUGAGGAACGGCCCAGGCACCUACGGGGGGGCAGAGGGGGGAAUUUUGCACCAUGGGCGCGAGGCUGGUGCAGGGAAGCCGCGGGGGGGAAGACGGGCUUCGGGGUGGAAAAUCCUUUCGCCAGGGACGAAGCGUUUUGUGACGGUACCUGGUGAAGAAGCACCGGCUAACUACGUG
Molecule: ribosomal RNA, 463 nt
Filed under: uncultured bacterium
Lineage: Bacteria
Description: partial 16S ribosomal RNA
Rfam family: Bacterial small subunit ribosomal RNA
Source: RNAcentral